Molecule: long non-coding RNA, 1116 nt
Organism: Homo sapiens (human)
Lineage: Eukaryota; Metazoa; Chordata; Mammalia; Primates; Hominidae
Product: long intergenic non-protein coding RNA 1892
Source: Ensembl
GAGGAGGAAUUGAGAGGUGAAGCCAGCUGGGCUUCUGGGUCGGGUGGGAACUUGGAGAACUUUUCUGUCUAGCUAAAGAAUUGUAAAUGCACCAAUCUGCACUCUGUAAAAACACACCAAUCAGCACUCUGUGUCUAGCUAAAGGAUUGUAAACACACCAAUCAGCACUCUGUAAAAACGCAUCAAUCAGCACUCUGUAAAAUGGACCAAUCAGCUCUCUGUAAAAUGGACCAAUCAGCUCUCUGUAAAAUGGAACAACCAGCAGGAUGUGGGUGGGGCCAAAAGGAAUAAAAGAUGGCCACUCCAGCCAGCAGCUGCAACCCGCUUGGCUCCCCUUCCAUGCUGUGGAAGCUUUGUUCUUUUGUUCUUCACAAUAAAUCUUGCUGCUGCUCACUCUUUGGGUCCACACUACCUUUAUGAGCUGUAACACUCACUGUGAGGGUCUGUGGCUUCAUUCCUGAAGUCAGCGAGACCACAAACCCACUGGGAGGAACAAACAACUCUGGACAUGCCACCUUUAAGAGCUGUAACACUCACUGCGAAGGUCUGAGUCUUCAUUCCUGAGGUCAGCGAGACCAUGAACCCACCAGAAGGAAGAAACUCCGGACACAUCUGAACAUCUGAAAGAACAAACUCCAGACACACCAUCUUUAAGAAUUGUAACACUGCAAAGAUUCAGAAUUUGGCUGGAUGCUCCUAAAGAGCUACUGAAAUAGACUCAAUGGCAGCUACGAUGCCCAACAGAAGCAGCGAUGCCUGGUGCACAUAGCAGGUUGCUAGCAGGAGUCAUCUGGGGUGAUUCACCUGUCUUGUUGGUGAGGAUAUGGACAUCAUCUGGGGACUCUCAGAAAUCCCUGAAGUGAUAUAGAGUCCCACAUGAGCUUGCCUGUGGUGUUUUACAAACCAAUAACGUAGUGUUCAUAAACCAAAGUCACUUGGAGGCAUUGUCAAGUUCUACGUAAAGACAUUGAUGAACAAGACAUAGAGAUCCCGGUCCUGAAGAAACUUACAGCCUGACCAUGACAAAAGGGCCUACUCUCAAAUAUCUAUAAUGUUGACUGGCACAAUCUAGUAUUUUCCUUCACUUGUUCAUGUCAAUAAAGGAAAAUAAAAAGU